CAAUAGCGUAUAUUAAAGUUGUUGCAGUUAAAAAGCUCGUAGUUGGAUUUCUGGUGGGAGCGAUCGGUCUGGCGCUUAGCGCGAGUACUUGCAUCGUCUCCGGCCAUCCUUGGGGAGAGUCUGUCUGGCAUUAAGUUGUCGGGCAGAGGAUCCUCAUCGUUUACUGUGAAAAAAUUAGAGUGUUCAAAGCAGGCUUAUGCCGUUGAAUAUAUUAGCAUGGAAUAAUAAGAUAGGACUUUGGUACUAUUUUGUUGGUUUGCGCACCAAAGUAAUGAUUAAUAGGGACAGUUGGGGGUAUUCGUAUUCCGUUGUCGGAGGUGAAAUUCUUGGAUUUACGGAAGACGAACUACUGCGAAAGCAUUUACCAAGGAUGUUUUCAUUAA
This 383-nucleotide ribosomal RNA is filed under the name uncultured eukaryote. Its description in RNAcentral is "partial 18S ribosomal RNA". It matches the Rfam family "Eukaryotic small subunit ribosomal RNA", at positions 592 to 976 of the family's 1831-position model. The record is from RNAcentral.